UGAGGAAUAUUGCGCAAUGGGGGAAACCCUGACGCAGCAACGCCGCGUGUGGGAAGAAGGCCUUCGGGUCGUAAACCACUUUUGCACGGGACGAAAAAGGGAUAUCGAACAAAUAUCCCCGAUGACGGUACCGUGAGAAUAAGCCACGGCUAACUCUGUGCCAGCAGCCGCGGUAAGACAGAGGUGGCAAGCGUUGUUCGGAAUUACUGGGCGUAAAGAGUCUGUAGGUGGUUUGUCAAGUCUUUGGUGAAAGGCCGUAGCUUAACUAUGGGAAUGCCAAAGAGACUGGCAGGCUGGAGGCUGGGAGAGGGAAGCGGAAUUUCUGGUGUAGCGGUGAAAUGCGUAGAUAUCAGAAGGAAGGCCGGUGGCGAAGGCGGCUUCCUGGAACAGUCCUGACACUGAGAGACGAAAGCGUGGGGAGCAAACAGGAUUAGAUACCCUGGUAGUCCACGCCCUAAACGAUGGGUACUAAGUGUGGAGGGGUUAAACCCU
This 492-nucleotide ribosomal RNA is filed under the name uncultured bacterium. RNAcentral describes it as "bacterial SSU rRNA". It matches the Rfam family "Bacterial small subunit ribosomal RNA", at positions 355 to 839 of the family's 1533-position model. The record is from RNAcentral.